RNAcentral lists this transfer RNA (74 nucleotides) under Flavobacteriaceae bacterium. RNAcentral describes it as "tRNA-Asn". It matches the Rfam family "tRNA". From Rfam's summary of the family: Transfer RNA (tRNA) molecules are approximately 80 nucleotides in length. Their secondary structure includes four short double-helical elements and three loops (D, anti-codon, and T loops). Lineage: Bacteria; Pseudomonadati; Bacteroidota; Flavobacteriia; Flavobacteriales; Flavobacteriaceae. The record is from RNAcentral.
GCCCCGUUAGCUCAGCUGGUUAGAGCGUACGACUGUUAAUCGUAAGGUCACAGGUUCGAUCCCUGUAUAGGGCG